ACUGCAGCCGUAGGUCAGUGGAGGGGACAGCCAGAUUGCUCUACAUCUGCACUUCCUUGGAUAUGGCCCCUUUUUCCAUCUGGAUGCUUUCUUUAAGGAUGAAAGAUGUGAAUGUCACUUGAGCCCAACAGAUCUGCGUACAGAGGAGUUUACAGUCUAAGGAAGAGACAAGGCUGGAGCAGAUGACAAUAAACAAGGGAAUGUAGCAUGUGUGUUGUUGUAAUUCAGUCUAAAAAUUUUAGCAGAUACUUUAUUCAUUUAUCCUCUUGCUCUUCCUUAUUUAAGGAACAGCUAUAGGACGCAUUAAUCAAGUAGGUGAAGAGUCAAGAGCUUUAUCUUUAAUAACAUUAAAAUUUUUCUUGUUGAACUUUUUCCCUAUGGACCCAGUACUCAGCUCUGGCCAAGUAUCACUCAGCUGAGGAGCCAUAGCAAACAGACAAAACAGGUUAAGAGGGAUUUAUGUCAGAGAAACAGCAAGUGUAUUUUGGUCUUAGAAACGUAAUCGUUUAAUACAAGAGUGCAUCUUAAGCAUCUUAAUAUAUAGUUAAUCUGUAUGCUGAACUUCACUCUCAAUCCACGUAACUCAACAGCCAUUGUUCAGCGAUGUUACAAACCCUGUAAAGUAACAGAAGGUGCUGAACAAGCAACUGGGAAAAAAAAAAUAGACAAGAUGCACAACUUUUAAAACCUAAGUAAGAGCAAACUGACAUGCAAAGGGAGAAUAUAGCAGAUAAGUACGCAGUCAGAGCUCUGUCAGUUGUGACUGAAAAGGAUGUGUGGUAACCCUGCCCAGAUCGGUGCACAUAGGGUUUGUUUUUGUUGCUUUCCAAAAAUGCACACAAGCCUUUGGCUGCAAGGAUAUGAUAUAUGCAAGGACAAAAUGUUAGGAGACAGAGAGAGAAACCUGGGAUGAGUAAUAUUUGGGGAGUCUGUUACAAAGUGCAUGGGUACCAGAGACCUAAAAAUUCUUGGGAGAAAGAGUUAUAACCCCUGACCUGGGAAAUGCUGUGUGCCAGAAGUGACUGGGAGCAGGGUGCAUUUGUAUGAAGUUGAUUUUCUAAUUCCCACAGCCCAUUAAAGAUCCUUCUCCUUUGUGAGAAACCUUUUCAGAUCCUCUCACCCACUUCCCCCACCCCAACAUAUUCACCCCCUACCAAUUCCAGUUUGUACCCUGCUCUAGUGCUUUUAAUUUUCUGAAUAUAUUUCAUGAUGACUUUUGCCCAUGGAAAUGCUGCGGAAGCCGCUGUCGGGUGUACCGUGCCUUUCCUGAGCUGAGUUUUUAUCUUUUAAGAACACUUUAAACCUGCCAGAGACAAAAUGGGAUAUGAAGAACCAAUUUCAAUUACAAGUGUGUGAGGUGGUUUCCCAGCAACAGCAGUAUUUAAAAGCAACAAAAAUUAGCAUACCUU
Molecule: long non-coding RNA, 1409 nt
Organism: Oxyura jamaicensis (ruddy duck)
Lineage: Eukaryota; Metazoa; Chordata; Aves; Anseriformes; Anatidae
Exons: 2
Source: RefSeq, a predicted model, not a curated record